GGAGUUAGCCGGUGCUUCUUCUGCGAGUAACGUCACAGAUGUAAGGUAUUAACUUACACCCUUUCCUCCUCGCUGAAAGUGCUUUACAACCCGAAGGCCUUCUUCACACACGCGGCAUGGCUGCAUCAGGGUUUCCCCCAUUGUGCAAUAUUCCCCACUGCUGCCUCCCGUAGGAGUCUGGGCCGUGUCUCAGUCCCAGUGUGGCUGAUCAUCCUCUCAGACCAGCUAGGGAUCGUCGCCUAGGUGAGCCUUUACCUCACCUACUAGCUAAUCCCACCUGGGCUUAUCCAUCAGCGCAAGGCCCGAAGGUCCCCUGCUUUCCCCCGUAGGGCGUAUGCGGUAUUAGCAGUCGUUUCCAACUGUUAUCCCCCACAAAUGGGCAAAUUCCCAGGCAUUACUCACCCGUCCGCCGCUCGUCAUCUUCAAAAGCAAGCUUUUGAAAUGUUACCGCUCGACUUGCAUGUGUUAGGCCUGCCGCCAGCGUUCAAUCUGAACCAGAUCAAACUCUGA
This 510-nucleotide ribosomal RNA is filed under the name uncultured bacterium. RNAcentral's name for it is "partial 16S ribosomal RNA". The record is from RNAcentral.